UGUUCCCAAGGAGAAGUGGAAACCUGAGGGGUCUUCGAAAGUCAGUUGUGUUGGAUGGUGUCCUGCUGGGGCAAGCAAACACGUGAAGGAGCGUUUGGCUGAAGCAGACACAGGCAGUGCCACUGCUGCUGUAUCCUGACUCUACUGAACUGGACUGCUGGUGUAGCCGUGAAGUGUUUAGGAGUGGAUCGAGCGGCUGCUGCUGACCUGUGAUCUGAACUGUUGAUUUCCUGACAACGAAAACAGGAUUUGCUCCAAAGAAUCAUUUCUAAACAGGGAGCAAUUCCGAUGGUGGUGGUGGCAGGCCCAGGAAGGAGUCAGCUGCCACAGGGAAAGCCCCCACCCGGGUGGAAGAGAGAAAAGGAACAUCCGGGAGGCCAGGGAUCAGAGGCUGAGGCUUUCCUGCAACAGCGGCCAUAACAGGUGAGCAUACACUAGGAAGCAAAGAACAGAGGCUGCCCUCACACAACUGGAGGGCAGACGUUAGGGUGGCAAACCAAACCAAGAGAGGUCUUCUUCCUUCUGCUUCUAGCUCUGAUGGUUCUCCUCCAAAAUUCACUUAUUUGUGGACUGCUGAGGCCCAUUGGUGGCCUUAUGACCUGAGUUUGAUGCCUGGUGCCCAGCUGGUGGGAGGAGAGAAGCAGCUCUUGAAAGUUGCCCUCUAACACCACUAACACACACACACACACACACACACACACACACACACACACACACACACACACACACAUAGAGGAAAAGGGAGAAAGGGAGGGGGGGGAGAGAGAAUAACAAACAGAUGUAAAAAAAUUAAAAUGUGUUUAGUGUGUGUGUUUGUGUAGAUGGUACUCAGGUCCUCUCACAUGGUAGGCAAGAAGAACUCUACCACUGAGCUAUGUCCCUAGCCCCCUACAAAAUUCACGUUAGAACCCUAGUCCCCCUCUUGAUGGUAUAAAUAUCAGGAACUUUGGAAGGAACUGAAUUCAGAAGAGGCCAUGAGGAGGCAGCACCAAGUCUGUGCCCUAACGCGAAGAGAAAUGGGAGACUCCCUCCUUCCCACCCUCCCAGCUGCUCCCCUCCAUCUAUGAUGGUCCAAACAGCCACUUGGGAGGCAGAGGCAGAUGGAUCUCUGAGUUGAGGCCAGCCUGGUCUAUAGAGUGAGUCCCAGGACAGCCAGGGCUACACAGAGAAACCCUGUCUCAGAAAAACAAACAAGUAGCCACCCUAACGGGUCUCACCACACACAAAUCUGCUAGCACUUGAUCUUCAACUUUCCCAACUCCCGAGACCAUGAGAAAUACGUUUAUUAGUCAAUGUUAGUAGAACUUCAUUGCAGCCGCUGAACAGAGCAGGCACCUGUGGUCCUCGGCAUUCCUGGGCUUGUGGCAGCAUCACUGAAUCUCUGAUCCCCGCCUUCAUCGUUCAGUGAUCUCUCGAUCACGAUGUCUGUGUCAAAUCUCCCUCAUAUGACUGGUGAGUCAGGUGUAAGCACACGCCAAUCUACUGUGACAUUGUCUGACGUUUACUGCAGAUGCAGAGAUCCUGCUUCUCAAUCAGGUUACCGUUGAGACAAACAGGCCUGAGACAAUACCUUCAUUUCCAGAUGUGUGAUCUUGGGCAAGAUUCCCUACUACCUGAGCCCCAACCCCUACCUCCUCACCUACCCUUACCCCUCACCCACCCCUACCUCCUCAUCCACUCCUAGCCCCUCAUCCACCCCUACCUGUCACCCAUCCCUACCUCCUUACCCACCCCUAGCCCCUCCUCCCAGCCCCUCCCCCUCGGUUCCCCUAGCAAACAAAACCACUUGCCCAGAACUGCUACUCUUAACUGUGGCUCCCCACACAGGCAGCCCCUCCCCCAGCCUUUGAUAGCACUAAACUAUUUUUUUUUAAUCAAUUCAUCCUGCAGCCGCAGUUUCAGCGAUGAUCAAAUGCAGCCACCAUCCUGCAGAUAAGCCCCUUCAGCCUGAUUCUCACUGCAAAGUACUUAUCUUAAGAAAAUCUAGGGAGAAUCUGCAUUUAUCUGGAGAAUAACUGGAAUACUCUGCAAGGGUUUCUCUACCAAAUGGUUCUGCUUGUCCCAGCGGGGCCUGCCUGACUUUCAGCAAAGCACAAUGAAAGGAGGCUUGGGCGGGAGGAAGGUUCUGUGUGCACCUUAUCCUGCCUGUGCUGGAGACUGCCCCAAUGGACCCUCAGUGUUGUAGCCAUUCAUUCAGACGCACUCAAAUUCCCCAGGAGGCACUGACCUCUUCCACACCUUUAAUCCCAGACUAUCUCUGAGAGUUUGCGGUCAGCUUGGUCUACAUAGAGAGUUCCAGGCUAGCCAAGGCUACAUAAAGAGUGUGUGUGAGAGAGAGAGACAGAGAAAGAGAGACAGAGCAAGAUUGUCUUGCUCACUGGAUCACACUGGCUCUUGGGGCAUUCUCUGUUUCAGAAAAACAAUGGAUACAUUAGCAACGUCUUGUUUCCUUUUGCUCUGCCAAGCAAAAGCAUGGAAACCUCUGGGGAAUUCACUUGACAAGCUAAGAACAGGAGGUCAGUGUCUACACUGUUACCACAAGUGUGCUGUCCCCGUGGCUCCUACCCCUGGGGAGGCAUGGCUGUGUGGAACUGUGCCCGUGCCAUUCUAACGGGUGAGGGAGGGAGUGGGUGGUGUGGGAGAGGGGACGUGGUUCCAGCCAAUGACUUCCUUCUGUCUCCUUUCUGAGGGUAUGUCUGUUAGUCCCUUUGAAGCAGACACCCUCAAAAGGAUGGUGAGACUGCAAGGUCCGGUGAGCCUGUCCCUUUUCCUAGCUGGCCUUGAGUCUCCCCUGCUUCUUUGUCACAUAGCUCAGGCCUCUUCACUAGUGUGAAGGGCUAAUACAUCCCUGUUCCUGAGGGAGCACCUGGCUCUCAUGCUUUAAAGAUUCCUCCUGAGGGCCAACGAGAUGGAUGGCUCAGCGAAAGGCGCUUGCUGUGCAAACAUGACAGUCUGUGUUCGAUCACCAGAACCCAUAGUGGAAAGAGAAACUGACUCCCAGAAGUUAUCUCUGAUUUCCACAUAUGUUCUCUCCCUCUCCCCCUCACACGCAUCCUUUUAAAAAGUCUUUUUUUUGGGGGGGUUGGGGAUUUAGCUCAGUGGUAGAGCGCUUGCCUAGCAAGCACAAGGCCCUGGGUUCGGUCCCCAGCUCCAAAAAAAAGAGAAAAAAAAAAAAAAAGAAAAAAAAAGUAUUUUUUUAAAAAUAUAUAUACUUUAAUUCCUGCUUCAGUGACUUUCCCUUAUAGGAGGAGCUCAGCUGCCCUGAGUCCCCCUCACUGUUGUCAAUGGGCAGGGCUUAAAUGUUUAUUUUAGAAAAAAAAAGAAGUGGGCAGUGGCGGUGCACACCUUUAAUCCCAGCACAGGGGAAGCAGAGGGAGGGGAAUCUCUUGUGAGUUGAAGGUCAGCCUGGUGUACACAGUGAGUUCCUGGACAGCCAGGUCUACAUAGAGGAACCCUGUCUGAAAAAGUGAAAGAAAGAAAGAAAGAAAGAAAGAAAGAAAGAAAGAAAGGAAGGAAGAAAGAAAGGAAGGAAGGAAGGAAGAAAGGAAGGAAGGAAGGAAGGAAGGAAGGAAGGAAGGAAGGAAGGAAGGAAGGAAGAAAGAAAGGAAGAAAGGGGGCAGGCAUGGUGGUGCAAACCUUUAGUCUCAGCACUGGGGAGGCAGAGGCUGAUGAAUCUCUGUGAAUUUGAGGCCAACCUGGUCUACAUAGUGAGUUCUAGGCCAGCCAGUGGUACAUAGAGAAUCCUGCUUCAAGAAAAACAAAACAAAAACAAACAAGUGAUAAAAAUAUCUCUUUACAACUUUUUUUUUUUAAGAUUUAUUUUAAGGGUUGGGGAUUUAGCUCAGUGGUAGAGCACUUGCCUAGCAAGCGCAAGGCCCUGGGUUCGGUCCCCAGCUCCGAAAAAAAAGAAUAAAAAAAAAAAAAAGAUUUAUUUUAAAAAUAAAAUGCAGUGCUCUAUCUGCAUGGACACCUGCGUGCCAGAAGAGGGCAUCAGAUCCUAUUACAGAAGGUCGUGAGCCACCGUGUGGUUGCCUGGGAUUGAAUUUUGGACCUCUGGACAGUAUUCUUAACUACUGAGCCAUCUCUCCAGCCCCGACAACUUAUUUUUUAAACGAAUUCUUUUUAAUUAUGUAUAUAUAUAGGGACCUGUAUGUGGUUAUGGACAUGAGUGCAGAUGCCUGCAGAGGCCAGCAGAGGGCACUGGAGAGCCUCUGUCUGGAGUUGCCUAAUGGAGUUGUGAGCAGCCUCAUGUGGGGGCUGGGAAUUGAACUGGAGUCCUAUGCAUGAGCAAAAGACACUCUUAAUUGACCAGUCAUCUGUCUCCAGCAGCUUUACAUUUAGUCUUUAUUUUUAUUAUGUUUAAAUUAUUUAUGCGUAUGUGUCUGUGUUGGUCAGCAUACACACCCAUGCAGAUGCUAGAGGCAGGAAGGUCAGGUCUCCUGGAGCUGGAGUAACAGAGGUUCUGAUCCACCAUGUAGGUGCUGGGAACUAAACCAGGUCCUCUACAAGAGCAGGGAGUGCUCAUAAACACUCUCCAGCCAUCUCUUCAGCUUUUAAUUUUAGAAAAAAAUAUUUAAAAGGAGGACUCAAAGGGUUUGGUUGGGGGAGGGGGGUUGGAGAGAUGGCUCAGUGGUUAAGAGCACUGACUGCUCUUCCAGAGGUCCUGAGUUCAAUUCCCAGCAACCACAUGGUGGCUCACAACCAUCUGUAAUGAGAUCUGGUGCCCUCUUCUGGUGUGUCUGAAGACAGUGACAGUGUACUCACAGACAUUAAAUAAAUAAAUAGGGGUUGGGGAUUUAGCUCAGUGGUAGAGCACUUGCCUAGCAAGCGCAAGGCCCUGGGUUCGGUUCCCAGCUCCGAAAAAAAAGAAAAAUAAAUAAAUAAAUAAAUAAAGCUUUAAAAAAAGGGGGGGGGAUUAGGUUCGAUUGCUUAGGGGACAGCAUUGUCCUUUAGUGAGACGGGGAACUUGAGGACAAACAGGUGGACGGGGUGUGUCAAGCCUGAGAGAGUGUGAGUGUGUGUGUGUGUGUGUGUGUGUGUGUGUGUGUGUGUGUGUCUUAAUGGGAGUGUUGUAAGAGUUGUUGAAUUCAGGGUUGUGUUCAAGGUGAGGCUAGAGCCAGCAAUGAAGCCAUGGGAGUUGCUGGACAUUGGUGCUGAUCAAAGCUACAAGAAAGCACUUCUUCUAAAGAAAGGGUAACAUUUUAAAGUUAAUUCUGGUUAACUUAGAAAUGUUAGUAUCACCCCUAAAACAACAUUGGCAAAGACCUCCACUAGGAGUUCACAGAAAAGCCAGCCUCCUCUCUCUGCCUGACGCUGCUGAGGCUACACUUGUGAGGCCUGUCUUCUGCAGCUAACAAGCACAUGUCACUUCUUAGCUGCUGGCUGCAUGCAGCUCCUCUCCCAGUGCCAAAAACAUCAGGAAGAUGUCAGCUCAACAAGGUCAUCAGUGAGCUGAAUGGAAGACAUUGAGAAUGUCAUCGCCUACGGUGUUGGCAAGCACCAGUGUGCCCGCAGGUGGGGCUGUGGCUGUUUCUACUGCCCGGGUCUCUGCAGCGCCUCCCACUGCCCCGCCCCUACUCCAUGAGCCCCACCCCCAACCACAGCAGCAGAGGGGGUGAGAAGGGGAUAACGCUUGGGAUUUGGUUUGCUUGACUAAAUUCCUAUAGAGCGUUUUGUUGUUGUUGUUUUUGGGCACAGAGUUUCUCUGUAUAGCCCUAUCCUGGAACUCAUUCUGUAGACCAGGCUGGCCUUGAACUCAGAGAUCUGUCCGUCUCUGCCUCCAGAGUUCUGGGAUUAAAGGUGUAAGCCGCCUCCCAACCCCAGCUAAAUAAAGUCUUUUUAUGCUUUAAAAAAAAAUCCAUCUUUUAAGGGUUUUGUCAUGUGUGGCUGUGGAUGGAACCUGGGGUCUUGUGCUUGCUGGGCAAUAAGUGCUCUACCUCUGUACUCCAAGCCAGCCCCAGCUAUUCUGGGAAAAAAAGAAAAAAAAAAGUAACACACAACCUGUAAUGAGAAGCUCUUGGUUCAGCUUCUUGCAGACAGGUCUCAACUGCCCAGGCCAGAGAGACAAGAACCCAGGAAUCAAGAGAGUAGUCCGUGGUUCAGUUACUUCUCUGUGAUAAAAAAGACCCUGGGAAAAAAAAUUACUUAAAGGAGAAUUAUUUUCUCUCACAGAUCCAGAAGGGGAAAGACAUCGCUGCAGUCAGGGAAGGCAGGGUGACUGGAGCAAGAGGCUACACGGUCACAUUGUAGCUACUCAGAAAGUAGAGAUGGAAGUCUGCACCAGCUGCCUUUCUCCAUUUUAUGCAGUACAACACCACAGUCAGGGACUAUGUACCACCAAGGCUGGGCACAGCUUCCUACCUCACUUAAAGCCAUCCAGAUAAUCUCUCACAAGCAUGCCCAGAAAGCUCCGUGUACUGUCAGGUCGACAACACCACACACCACAGAAACUCUGCUGGGAGCAGGUGCAUCUGCCAGGUAGAUUCCACCCAGAAAAGGAAGUAAUAUCAAUCAUCGUAGCUUCAAUCUACUUUCUUGAAACAGGGUCUGCUGUAUAGCCUUGGAUAGCCUGGAGGUGACUAUGUAGACCGGCCUGGUCUUGAACUCGUAGAGUCUCCUGUUUCUAGCUCUACUGGGAUCAAAGAUGAACGCCACCACACCAGGCCCUAUCUACUUUUCUUUUCUGAACUUUUUCUUUGGCUUUUUCAAGACAGGGUUUCUCUGUGUAUCUCUGGCCAUCCUGGAACUCACUCUGUAGACCAGGCUGGUCUUGAACUCAGACAUCUGCCUGCCUCUGCCUUCCAAGUGCUGGGAUUAAAGGUGUGUGCUACCAUUCCAGGCAUACUUUUUUUUCCUAAGACAGGGUCUAGCCUAACCUUGAACACACGUGCGCGCGCGCGCGCGCGCGCACACACACCCACACACACACACACACACACACACACACACACAGAUGCUGAAGAUAGUAAUAACAUGAUAUUGGUGCUUUGGGGGAAGGAGCAGUUUUCAGGUGUGGUUGACUUGUCUGAGGUUUUCCUGUUGUGGUAAUUGACUGGGAGCUGGGCUUUUCCUCCCAGGGUAGACUUUCCACCUUGUUCCACUUCCCUUGAGCACCUUCAUCUACUCUGUGCACUGAGCUUUUCUGUAUUCAGUCAGCCAGAGCACCUCUUCCCAGAGGUCUAAGAGAUGGGCUGUCACUCUGGGAGAGGCUGAUGUGACAUUCAUGCUUACUCCAGCCACCUUCCCCAGCUGCGUGGAGAGGAACUGCACUCUGGGGCAGAGAAGAUAGAAAUCACAGGAAGCCCUGGUCCCCUGUGCUGCCACCACGUGUCCACCUUUGGAAGCUCCAACUGCCUUCACUAACGCCAAAUACCAUUGAUGGGUAAUUUAUUUAUUUAUUUUUAUAUUUAUUACAUGUAAGUACACUGCAGCUGUCUUCAGACACACCAGAAGAGGGCAUCAGAUCUCAUUAUAGAUGGUUGUGAGCCACCAUGUGGUUGCUGGGAUUUGAACUCAGGACCCUUAGAACGGUCAGUGCUCUUAACCACUGAACUAUCUCUCCAGCCCUGAUGGGUAAUUUAUAAAGAAUAGUUUGUUUCCUUGUCGUAGGAGCUGGGAUAGGGAGCUGGAGGGCUGCCCCUGGGAAGGACCUUUUUGCUGAGUUACAGAGUAGGCCAGAGCAGAAGUUACCCAGAAUCCUUGGAUUAUAACCAUUUUCUCCAUAACUAGUCCAAACCACACCCACAACACCAAUCAAGUUGGGCGUGGUGGGGCACACACCUUCAAUCAUAGUGUUGGGAAAGGAGAGAAGUAGGUGGAUCUCUUGACUUUAGGGUCAGCCUAGUCUACGAAGAGGGUUCCUUCCAGAGUACAUGGUGAGACUCAAGAAAGAAAGGAAGGGGGGCUGGAGAGAUGGUUCAGUGGUUAAGAAUAUUGGUUGUUCUUCCAGAGGUCCUGAGUUCAAUUCCCAGCAACCACAUGGUGGUUCAUAACCAUCUCCAACAGGAUCUGAUGCCUCUUCUGGUGUGUCUGAGGACAGCUACAACAUACUAACAUACAUAAAAUGAAUAAAUAUAAAAAAAAGAAAGGAAGGAAAGAAGAAAGAAAGGAAGGAAGAAAGAACAGACAGACAGACAGACAGACUGGCGAGAUGGCUCUGUGAUUAAAAACAAGUGCUGCUUUUCCAGGGAACCCAAAUCAGUCCCUGGCACCCACUUGAUUCAGUUCCUGGCACUCAUGGCUGCUUAGAAACCAAUACCACAGGAUCCAAAGCUUCUGGCCGCCACAGACACUGGCCCUCACCUGCACAUCUUCCCCAGGAUGUAUAAUUUAAAACAUUGUUUUUUAAAAAACACUGAUCAGUUCUUAAAGACCCCGCCUUAACCACCUGUCUGGCUUCAACAGUUUGGUUCUGCAGCCCACAGGUCCACACCAGAUGCCAGAGCUAGGGCUUCAAAACAAAACCUGUUCCUUAGAUUCUCUGACCCCAAGGGGUCCAUAAACCGUGCACAUCUGGAAAACCUCACCUACACACUUUCCCGGUGUUAUUUACUCAAGUAGAGAAAGCAAAGCCCCUCAUGGCCUUUCUCUCCAAAUGAAGGCAAAACCAUUAGGCUGGAAGACACUGGGUAAGCAAAUAAAUAAAAGCGACAAGCCCUCUUGGGGGACAGGCCCUGAGGUCUCUCCUGCAGCCGACUCGAACUGAUAAACUUGAGGUUACUACACGGUGACCUGCAGACGCCCCAGUCUCUCACCACUUGUCAUGGCCAGCAGGGGACCACACUCACUAGGGAGAGACGGACCCACCUUUGCUUCCUAAAUGACAGCCCUGAGCCAGAGAUGCGAUAUGUUUCUGGGGCGCAUCUGAGGACCUCCGAGCAUCUGUGCCGUCUUUAGCCCGAGGCUUUCUCAGGCUCUACGGGAGAACUGGCUGUGCGCUCGUUCGGAAGCACCAAGCCAGGUGACAGGUGGAAACACUUGAGCAGCUGCUGUGUUAAUGCCGCGCAGGGAUCGGGAUCGCUAACUGCAGGUCUGAGCAGCAGUCCCUUCCGGAGGGCUCCACAGAUAGUCAGGGGCCCUGCAUCUCAGCCCCAGUACAGUGGAGCACCACGGAGCUGGGGGCAGCCGAGGGAGCUUCACCAGCUCCGGUGCAUCUAAGGUGAAGAUCCUCCCAAGCUGCUUUUCUUUAGUAAAGGUUCAUAUAUCCAGGACCAACAAGGGCACCGUUCCUGGUGAGAUUAGACCUCCGGUUUUUAUAUCUUCAGCCCCCUGGAGCAAGUCUCUGCUUCAGGUCUGAGGUAGGUUCAGCUCUCAGAGAAUCUGUGUCUAUGAGAUGGGCAUGCAGAAGCCUUUUGGGCUUCUUUGAGGCAGAGGAGGAUGCAAAUAUGGGUGCACACAGCCAGGGUUCUCCACCUUCACAGACUGCUGGGAAUUUUGAAGCUAGGGUCAUCCUUCUGUGUUGUCCUGAGCCAAGGAUAAGGUUUGUACCACUGUACCUGCUGGUCAUUGCUGCCUUGGAGCACGGCAGAUCCCCCACGGAGAUGGACAAUCCCUGCGGAGGCUCCCUAAGGGAAGGAGCCUUUCUGCAGCUGAAGGAAGGGGCCACGGACUGUUUCCCUGUGGCCCUGAGCCCAGCUUUUCCACGCCCUGUCCUCUGAACACCCGAUUUACUUUGAUUUGCCGUGUAGCCUAUGAAAGUAGAUGACGGCCUUACCAAUACCACAGCUUCUUAAAAGACGGGAGUGGGUGACUUUUUUUUUUUUUCUU
Rattus norvegicus (Norway rat) is the source of this 9765-nucleotide non-coding RNA. The record is from RefSeq and is a predicted model, not a curated record. NCBI's taxonomy places the organism in Eukaryota, Metazoa, Chordata, Mammalia, Rodentia, Muridae.